UCUGAUCCAUGAUGACCUCUAGGAAAGGCAGACUGCUGGAUGAAGCCUGCGGAUAUGGGGCUGAGAUCAGAC
Small nucleolar RNA from Cyprinodon variegatus (sheepshead minnow), 72 nucleotides. The record is from Ensembl. Lineage: Eukaryota; Metazoa; Chordata; Actinopteri; Cyprinodontiformes; Cyprinodontidae.